GGAGAUGUAGCUCAGUAGGUAGAAUGCUUGUUUAGCAUACAUNAAACCCUGGGUUAGAGUUCCAGCAUCGCAA
RNAcentral lists this transfer RNA (73 nucleotides) under Neotoma lepida (desert woodrat). It matches the Rfam family "tRNA". Rfam says of the family: Transfer RNA (tRNA) molecules are approximately 80 nucleotides in length. Their secondary structure includes four short double-helical elements and three loops (D, anti-codon, and T loops). Lineage: Eukaryota; Metazoa; Chordata; Mammalia; Rodentia; Cricetidae. The record is from Rfam by way of RNAcentral.